Molecule: long non-coding RNA, 2622 nt
Organism: Bubalus bubalis (water buffalo)
Lineage: Eukaryota; Metazoa; Chordata; Mammalia; Artiodactyla; Bovidae
Exons: 4
Source: RefSeq, a predicted model, not a curated record
CUAGGUUCAUCCACAUUGCUACAAAUGAUCCAAUUUCACUUCUUUUUUUAUGGUUUGUGAGAUAUCUUUGCCUAACUAAUGCAACGUCACUGUUACUGUUUGAAACGUGUACUCACUCUGGUCCAAACUAGUAUGUUGAAGUCUUAACCCUGACUGCCUUGGAAUGUAACCUUAUAUGGAGACAGAAUCUUUGUAAAGAAUCUUUGUUCAUUCGGAUAUAUGGAAGACUAUUGUUCUGCAUAUUUCCAAUCCCUCUCUUCCCCCAACCUCCGUGGGUGUUGCGCCUGCCUUCACAUCCUGCCGGGCUUGACUCUGGACUCAGUCACCUGAUUGCUUUAGGCAACAGGAUGUCAAUGGAGCCUGUAGCCAGUGAUUUGGAAGAAGCAAGGAAAAGGGAUCAGACAGUUCUUGCUUGAAUGAUACCAUCAUAUACUGGCUUCGUAUGCUUGGGCCUUGGAAGAAAUCUAAAACUGACUCCUACGGAUGCCUUCCUGGUUUGCUUGGUUAACAACCCUGAUUACAACUGUCUUGACAUGGAUGGUGUCUUCUCUUUAUUUUCUACAAUUCUCUCCCUCAGCCCCACUUUUUCUGAUAGUCUAUUCUGCGCAGGUUUUCACUAUUUGAAGUCCAAUAACCCUCUCAGGCAGUGGUCAAAAUGAUUCCAGUCACCUGCUCACUUACAGUCCAUGGGAACCCCUCAUGCUUCCCCUGCUCUGACAAAUUCUGAGCAUUGGGCUGCUCCUGAUGUGGUCCUGUGUUCUGUGCAGGCCACUUUUGUUGUCCCUCUCAUGAAUCAGGCACAGUCCUUUGUACCCCUAUAACUGCAGGGACACACGAAGGCUCUCCAGGUGGCCUGCUGAAGCUUUUAACCCCAGGCUUGAGCUGAGGGAAGAGUACCCAUCCCUUCCCAUAAGGGUGAGUCAGGGAGUCAGUUGUUUUCUCCAAAUAUGUUGAGGGCUUCUUCUGCAUCAACACUCUGAACCCUUUGAAAUCACCAUAUUAUGAGGGUGGGUCUGCCUGACACUCUUAGUAUUCAUUGUAUUUUGGUGUUUCAGUUGAAACUUCUAAUUAACAUCUUAUUAACCUUUCUCUUUAUUUGCUUUGCAUCUAAAGCAUUUUCCAAACUAUAUUAAAGCUCUCCCCCAUGUCAUUAUUACUGUUCUUUCCAGUUGUUUUUGAGGUGAAACCCUGCAUAGACUUGUAGAGAAUCUGAAUUGUUAUGGUGCAGUAUGUAAACUACCGUGCACGAUGUGCAGUGGAUAGUGAGGACUCAAAUGUGAGUUCUUUUGAUAAUCAAGAAAUCACAUACACCGAUACCACCAGUUUCACAAAACGUCUUUGAGAACUGAAAAAUUGAUAUUGAAUGUAAAUGAAUAUGAUUAAUACAAUUUUUCAAAAUUCAGUUGUUUGCUUGAAAGCUGGGAUUUUAUUAUUGGAAACAAAAUACUGUCAGUGAUUUUCUUGAAGUGAUGAGCUCACUUUGUACAUUUUGGAGAAACUGGCUGCCAAAUACGCAAGCCUGAAAAACCAUGGAUCUGUCAGUAGUUCUGUCAUGUAAAAAUUAUGUUCCAUGAAAAAUGUGACCAGAUCAAUGUGCAGUUCAAACUGGUGUGCACAGGCUUUUCCUUGAAACAACCAUUGCUCUUUGGUUUGCAGAAGUGCUUUGGAAGUGUACUUCCUAUUUCGCCACACAGAGUUUUAAAAAUAUGUGUAUUCAUGAAUUGAAAUCUUAUGAAAUUAAUAAUUUUGGCUGCUUCAAGGAUAUUCUUAAGUGAAAUUGACAUUUAAAAAUUAGGGUACCUCUUGGAGAAGAAUAUUACUACUUGCAGAGUUUGGAUUGCUAAGGUGGUUUAAUACACCAGUGCUUUCGCACCAUCCCUACAAAUCUCAACACAGUGAAAAAGGCAAACAAUCUUUUAUUAUUAUUAUGAAAAUGGUUUUGACUUUGUGGACUCCCUAGUCUCAUAGACUAGGGUCCCCCGAGGGAACCACAGUCCACAGUUUGAGAAUUUCUGAUCUAGAACAUUCUCUCAAUCUUGUUUAAAAAAAAAAAUAACCUUUUGUGACAUUGACAUUUUGGCAAAUUUGGGUCAACUUAUUUAUAAAAUGUCCCACAGUUUGCAUUUUCUGAUAGUUUCCUCAGGUUUAGCUUUCAGAUUAAAUAUUUUUGGCAAGAAUAAUAUAGAGGUGAUAUGUACUUCUUAUGCUAUUACAUCAAGAAACACUUACUGUUUGUUUGUCCCAAUAUUGGUAAUUCUAUGUUUGAUUACUUGAUUAUAGGGGUGCCUGACAGAUCUCUUGAUAGUAAAGGUACUAAUUCCCAUUGAAAUUAGUAGCACUUAGAAAUUGACACAUAAUCACCUACGAAAUCAUACUUGGAGACCAUGUGGGUAUCUUGUUCUGCAAAAUGGUUUUAGCAUUUCAUUGAUGAUCUUUGUCUAAAUCAUGAUUAUGUUGGAGACUGCAAAAUGGUGAUUAUUCCUUUUACAUUUAUUCACAGGAGGUAUUAUAUAAAGAAUAAUAUCACCUGUUUCAUUCCAUCUAUUUCUCUUUAUAGACUCAUAGAUUCUUUUCUUUUUAACAAUUCAAUAAAUUAAUUGGGCAAAUGAGAACCUUUUAAAA